GGGUUGUGAGGUUAAGCGACUAAGCGUACACGGUGGAUGCCCUGGCAGUCAGAGGCGAUGAAGGACGUGCUAAUCUGCGAUAAGCGUCGGUAAGGUGAUAUGAACCGUUAUAACCGGCGAUUUCCGAAUGGGGAAACCCAGUGUGUUUCGACACACUAUCAUUAACUGAAUCCAUAGGUUAAUGAGGCGAACCGGGGGAACUGAAACAUCUAAGUACCCCGAGGAAAAGAAAUCAACCGAGAUUCCCCCAGUAGCGGCGAGCGAACGGGGAGCAGCCCAGAGCCUGAAUCAGUGUGUGUGUUAGUGGAAGCGUCUGGAAAGGCGCGCGAUACAGGGUGACAGCCCCGUACACAAAAAUGCACAUGCUGUGAGCUCGAUGAGUAGGGCGGGACACGUGGUAUCCUGUCUGAAUAUGGGGGGACCAUCCUCCAAGGCUAAAUACUCCUGACUGACCGAUAGUGAACCAGUACCGUGAGGGAAAGGCGAAAAGAACCCCGGCGAGGGGAGUGAAAAAGAACCUGAAACCGUGUACGUACAAGCAGUGGGAGCACGCUUAGGCGUGUGACUGCGUACCUUUUGUAUAAUGGGUCAGCGACUUAUAUUCUGUAGCAAGGUUAACCGAAUAGGGGAGCCGAAGGGAAACCGAGUCUUAACUGGGCGUUAAGUUGCAGGGUAUAGACCCGAAACCCGGUGAUCUAGCCAUGGGCAGGUUGAAGGUUGGGUAACACUAACUGGAGGACCGAACCGACUAAUGUUGAAAAAUUAGCGGAUGACUUGUGGCUGGGGGUGAAAGGCCAAUCAAACCGGGAGAUAGCUGGUUCUCCCCGAAAGCUAUUUAGGUAGCGCCUCGUGAAUUCAUCUCCGGGGGUAGAGCACUGUUUCGGCAAGGGGGUCAUCCCGACUUACCAACCCGAUGCAAACUGCGAAUACCGGAGAAUGUUAUCACGGGAGACACACGGCGGGUGCUAACGUCCGUCGUGAAGAGGGAAACAACCCAGACCGCCAGCUAAGGUCCCAAAGUCAUGGUUAAGUGGGAAACGAUGUGGGAAGGCCCAGACAGCCAGGAUGUUGGCUUAGAAGCAGCCAUCAUUUAAAGAAAGCGUAAUAGCUCACUGGUCGAGUCGGCCUGCGCGGAAGAUGUAACGGGGCUAAACCAUGCACCGAAGCUGCGGCAGCGACACUAUGUGUUGUUGGGUAGGGGAGCGUUCUGUAAGCCUGUGAAGGUGUACUGUGAGGUAUGCUGGAGGUAUCAGAAGUGCGAAUGCUGACAUAAGUAACGAUAAAGCGGGUGAAAAGCCCGCUCGCCGGAAGACCAAGGGUUCCUGUCCAACGUUAAUCGGGGCAGGGUGAGUCGACCCCUAAGGCGAGGCCGAAAGGCGUAGUCGAUGGGAAACAGGUUAAUAUUCCUGUACUUGGUGUUACUGCGAAGGGGGGACGGAGAAGGCUAUGUUGGCCGGGCGACGGUUGUCCCGGUUUAAGCGUGUAGGCUGGUUUUCCAGGCAAAUCCGGAAAAUCAAGGCUGAGGCGUGAUGACGAGGCACUACGGUGCUGAAGCAACAAAUGCCCUGCUUCCAGGAAAAGCCUCUAAGCAUCAGGUAACAUCAAAUCGUACCCCAAACCGACACAGGUGGUCAGGUAGAGAAUACCAAGGCGCUUGAGAGAACUCGGGUGAAGGAACUAGGCAAAAUGGUGCCGUAACUUCGGGAGAAGGCACGCUGAUAUGUAGGUGAAGUCCCUCGCGGAUGGAGCUGAAAUCAGUCGAAGAUACCAGCUGGCUGCAACUGUUUAUUAAAAACACAGCACUGUGCAAACACGAAAGUGGACGUAUACGGUGUGACGCCUGCCCGGUGCCGGAAGGUUAAUUGAUGGGGUCAGCGCAAGCGAAGCUCUUGAUCGAAGCCCCGGUAAACGGCGGCCGUAACUAUAACGGUCCUAAGGUAGCGAAAUUCCUUGUCGGGUAAGUUCCGACCUGCACGAAUGGCGUAAUGAUGGCCAGGCUGUCUCCACCCGAGACUCAGUGAAAUUGAACUCGCUGUGAAGAUGCAGUGUACCCGCGGCAAGACGGAAAGACCCCGUGAACCUUUACUAUAGCUUGACACUGAACAUUGAGCCUUGAUGUGUAGGAUAGGUGGGAGGCUUUGAAGUGUGGACGCCAGUCUGCAUGGAGCCGACCUUGAAAUACCACCCUUUAAUGUUUGAUGUUCUAACGU
This 2210-nucleotide ribosomal RNA is filed under the name Escherichia coli. Its description in RNAcentral is "partial 23S ribosomal RNA". It matches the Rfam family "Bacterial large subunit ribosomal RNA", at positions 1 to 2228 of the family's 2925-position model. The record is from RNAcentral. Lineage: Bacteria; Pseudomonadati; Pseudomonadota; Gammaproteobacteria; Enterobacterales; Enterobacteriaceae.